CCUACGGGAGGCAGCAGUGGGGAAUAUUGCACAAUGGGGGAAACCCUGAUGCAGCGACGCCGCGUGAGUGAAGAAGUAAUUCGUUACGUAAAGCUCUAUCAGCAGGGAAGAAAUACUGACCUUACGGUCAGCAGACGGUACCUGAGUAAGAAGCCCCGGCUAACUACGGGCCAGCAGCCGCGGUAAUACGUAGGGGGCAAGCGUUAUCCGGAUUUACUGGGUGUAAAGGGAGCGUAGACGGUGCGCCAAGUCUGGGGUGAAAUGCCGCGGCUUAACUGCGGGAUUGCUUUGGAAACUGGCGAACUAGAGUGCCGGAGGGGUAAGAGGAAUUCCUGGUGUAGCGGUGAAAUGCGUAGAUAUUAGGAGGAACACCGAUGGCGAAGGCGGCUUACUGGACCGUAACUGACGUUGAGGCUCGAAAGCGUGGGGAGCAAACAGGAUUAGAUACCCUUGUAGUC
Molecule: ribosomal RNA, 458 nt
Filed under: uncultured bacterium
Lineage: Bacteria
Description: partial 16S ribosomal RNA
Rfam family: Bacterial small subunit ribosomal RNA
Source: RNAcentral